Molecule: long non-coding RNA, 236 nt
Filed under: Ananas comosus (pineapple)
Lineage: Eukaryota; Viridiplantae; Streptophyta; Magnoliopsida; Poales; Bromeliaceae
Description: long non-coding RNA (ACOM_LNC016846)
Source: RNAcentral
UUUAUUGAGCUACAACUUUUUCUCCAUAAAACCGAUUGUUCCUAGCGCAAGUGGCAAAGGCUUGAUGGUUGGUACCCGAGUUCCCAAGUUCGAAUCCUAAUUGAUUCACAUUUGCAGCUAAGUUUAUUUCUAAAAAAAUAAACGAAGCAGAUAGUAUGCUAUCUUUCUCUCUCAAAAAAUAAACUUUUUCUCCAUAUAGAGAUUAGAAAACUGAAUUGAAAGUAUAUAUGAGAUAA